AUACACACACACACACACACACACACACACACACACACACACACACACACACACACACACACACACACACACACACACACACACACACACACACACAUACUGUAUGUUUGUCAUUUUAUGUUUCUUUCUUAUUCACAACAUUGCUUUAAAACCAUGGAUUCCAUUGAUACUAUUUUUGAUAAGGAAAUGCUCUCUUUUUUUCACACUAACCUGGUCUGCCUUAACAAAACAAACCUUAAGAACAAACAAACAAAACCAUAAUAACAAAAAAAACAUACAAUUUACCUCAUGUUUUACCUGCACCUUUAGUGGCAGUGUGAGAUAGGAUGACUCAGGAAUUCUAGAACCAGAACCCUGAUGAUCCUUACUUCAGGUAUUCUACAACCCUGAUAAUCCUUCAGGUAUUCUAGAACCCUGAUAAUCCUUCAGGUAUUCUAGAACCCUGAUAAUCCUUCAGGUAUUCUAGAACCCUGAUAAUCCUUCAGGUAUUCUAGAACCCUGAUAAUCCUUCAGGUAUUCUAGAACCCUGAUAAUCCUUCAGGUAUUCUAGAAUCCUGAUAAUCCUUCAGGUAUUCUAGAAGCCUGAUAAUCCUUCAGGUAUUCUAGAACCCUGAUAAUCCUUACUUCAGGUAUUCUAAGAAUUCCGAAGACAUGUCGGCACUUUGUGGUCUGAUGCUGAUGCAAUAUCUCCUCACCAUUUCAAACUACCUCCGAUUUCCACCGCAACAACCUGAAAACUCCAAGCUCAAGGAAUGCACACUUCCCUGCUACACAGUACUGCACAGUACCACACAGUACUAAAUAGUAGUACACAGUACUACACAGUACUACACAGUACUAAAUAGUACUACAUAGUACUACACAGUACUACAUAGUAUUACUACACACAACAACGCAUGGGAUGGCAGUGUGUGUGUGUGUGUCAACGAGCUAACUUGUUAUAAAAGUUGUUGUCUUGUGUCUCACAGUGGAACAGACAUGUUCUGUGUAAGUCUGACAGGUAAUUUACUGAAAUCAGGAGUUUUUUUUAUAUUUCCUAUGUAGAACUCAUAAGCAGCUAAUGGAAGAAGUACUGUGGUGUCUUUAUUUCACAUUAACAUUAGUGUUGUGUAUCUAUUUACAUUACCAUGAGUGUUGUGUAUCUAAGUCCUAACAAGACACCCACCUUUCCCUCUCCUCAACUGGGACUUCUGUUUGACAAACUGUUAACUUGAAUAUAUUUGUUUUUCUGAUUUACUCAAUGGUUUUUAUUAAGGAUCAAGUGCUUGUAUGACACUACACGAUAUUAUUGUUUUUUGUUUGUUUUUGCUCUGAAUUCUUUUAUUUUUUGUAAUUUUUUUCUGAACUAUGUACUAUUCAUAUACAUUUAUGUACCUCAAACAAACUGAUAAAAAUGGACUUAUAAUCGAUUGACAAAUACCUACCUCCAGUCUUGAAAAGGAAUGAUUUUUGCCGGGUUUCUUUCAUUCAGUAUGAGUUUUGAUAAUGUAUGAUGAAAUCUAUCGAUAUUAGGACUGCAAAAGAUCCCUUACUCAAAAGUAUUUUUGUAACAGUUUUCAAAACUUCUGAACCAAGAAAAAUGUUGACUUCACCCUGCGGAAGAAAUAGCCUUCAAAAAAUAAUCUUGAAGAUUUUCAGGUUUUGAAAAAUAUAUGUUUGGGUUUUGUAUAUUGUAUUCAUGGAUUUUUUUUUUUUUUAAUUAGUAGAUAUUGAUAUACUUGAUUAGAUAUUUUGUGUACUUUACGACACGUGAUUUUCUUUUUCUUGUUGUUAUGGUUCAACCAGAUGUAUAUGAAAAUGCUUCUUAAGUAGUGAUGGAUAACAACUUUUAAAUGUUAACAUGGUAUAUUCUCAUACGGGCCUGAGGUAGAGAGCCUCAGAGAGUUAGCCAAACAACCCAACAUGCCCUCUCCACUCACACAGGCCUGAGGUAGAGAGCCUCAGAGAGUUAGCCAAACAACCCAACAUGCCCUCUCCACUCACACAGGCCUGAGGUAGGGAGCCUCAGAGAGUUAGCCAAACAACCCAACAUGCCCUCUCCACUCACACAGGCCUGAGGUAGAGAGCCUCAGAGAGUUAGCCAAACAACCCAACAUGCCCUCUCCACUCACACAGGCCUGAGGUAGAGAGCCUCAGAGAGUUAGCCAAACAACCCAACAUGCCCUCUCCACUCACACAGGCCUGAGGUAGGGAGCCUCAGAGAGUUAGCCAAACAACCCAACAUGCCCUCUCCACUCACACAGGCCUGAGGUAGAGAGCCUCAGAGAGUUAGCCAAACAACCCAACAUGCCCUCUCCACUCACACAGGCCUGAGGUAGAGAGCCUCAGAGAGUUAGCCAAACAACCCAACAUGCCCUCUCCACUCACACAGGCCUGCAAGCUGCAAUUCAAACUUAACAUCAGUCAGUUUUAAGCUGCUUUCAUGUGCUCUCUGAAUUAUAUUGACUGGGGAAAAAUUACGGAAUAGGAAAGGUCCCGGAAUCGUGCUAACAACAACCGUUCAUUUUGAGUUUCCGAGUCAGAAAUACGUGUGGGCACAAACUUAGGGAACAUCAUUGUACCCAAAGUUUCACAGUCGUAUACUUCCGAGUUUCUCAGUCAGAGACUUCCGAGUUUCUCAGUCAGAGACUUCCGAGUGUCUCAGUCAGAAACUUCCGAGUUUCUCAGUCGAAUACUUCCGAGUUUCUCAGUCAAAUACUUCCGAGUUUCUCAGUAGGAGACUUCAGAGUUUCUCAGUCGGAGACUUCCGAGUUUCUCAGUCAGAAACUUCCGAGUUUCUCAGUCAGAGACUUCCGAGUUUCUCAGUCGAAUACUUCCAAGUUUCUCAGUCGAGUACUUCCGAGUUUCUCAGGCGGAUACUUCCAAGUUUCUCAGUCGAAUACUUCCGAGUUUCUCAGGCGGAUACUUCUGAGUUUCUCAGUCGGAGACUUCCGAGUUUCUCAGUCGGAGACUUCCGAGUUUCUCAGUCAGAUGCAGACUUCAGAGUUUCCUAUUUUCCGAGGAAGGCAGCAUUAGUUUCUUCACACACUAUUACUGUCCAGAAUGUUCCUCGAACUGUAUCAUUGGGUGGGUUCAUCUGUGAUAACAACUCUUGAUAACUCUCAGGUACAUAACAAUCAAAACAGAGAACGUAGGUUGAUCAAGAACCCACCUAUUGUUGAUGAGGUGAAGCCAAAGUAUGCCUAUACUUUAUGUUGAUGCAGUUUGACAGCUGUCUUGGUUUUGAAACGGCUUCGUAGGCCUACCUGUGUGAGUUGGCGAUCACAUGUUGUAGCUUUGAAAAGCACGGCUUAGAAACAGAUAGACUUCACAGCUGAGAAGAACAAUGGCUUUGUCUAAAUACGUCACAAGCCAUCAAAUCCUUGCUUACUGCUUCCAUGUUUCCGUAAUUCUUCUCAAAUCUCAUUGGAGGUGUGGAUCUACGGUUCCUCCUCUCGAGAACUUCUCUUACCAAUGAACUUUGAGAGGAAUUGAGGAAACAAGGACAGUUGGGGGGAAGAAGUAUUUGACGGCUAGUAAUGUUUUGAGACGCAGCCAUCGCCAGACUGUCCAUCAUCAGCAUGAAAAGCUAUAAGAGAUAAUAAAAAUAAAAAAACAUUUCCAAAAAGGGCUAAACACUGUGGUGCUCAUAGCUGACACUUAUUAUAUCAUAGGAGGUAAUGACGUUCCAAUGUUGGAGCUCCAAGAUCAUUGGACUAUAUUUCAUAAAUAUGUACUCGAGUUCUAAAGUGUAAGAGUAUAUAAAAAAAAAAAAAGAAUUGAAACAAUGUUUUUUUAUUUUUUAUUUUGGGAUGUUUUACCUCAUGUUGGUGUCAAUGUGUAACUAUGGAAACCACUGUUUUGUUGAUGUGCUUUGAGCUCUUGAGUCUUAAUGAAGAUGAUCCCGUUCUAGAACAGUCCCAAUACACAUUACUACCUCCAAGAAAAGGGCCUACUGUUACCUCAUUUUCAAACUAAACCUGCUCCCAAAUGGCACCCUAUUCCCUAUAUUAGAGCACUCUUUUUGACCAGGGUGUGCACUACUUUUGACCGGAGCAUUUACGGGGACUAGUCCGCUAUAUAGGGAAUAGGGUGCAAUUUGUGACGCGAGCUUAAAUAUCUGCUUAGUAAAACUCAGGUGACGAAAGAGAACAGGGAGAACAUCGUAACAUUUUUAUAUAUAUAUAUAGUUUAUUUUUGUCGGGGGAUAAAUUUUAUAAGACUGUUCUUCUCUGCCUCUUAGUCACCACUAGGUAAGACUGGACAUGUAAUUUUUUAUUUUAAAGAACAUUUUCUGACAUUAUGCAAUGUUACGUAGUUAUAUUAAUCUGUGGAGGGGAGAGGCGGGAAGAGGCGUCUCCCUCAGUAGAACGUCAUGUUUUCUAUCUAACUUGUAUCGCUUCCUCUCUAUCCACCUAGUAUCGCUGUCUUCAAUUACACAUCCAAAUUGCUUGUUUGAUAUACAAAACAAACCCAACUUAUCUUAAUAGAUAUUCACAGCCUUGUUUCAGCACAAUAAAAAAAAAAUAUGGCUUCUG
This is a non-coding RNA of Salmo salar (Atlantic salmon), 4517 nucleotides long. The record is from RefSeq and is a predicted model, not a curated record. NCBI's taxonomy places the organism in Eukaryota, Metazoa, Chordata, Actinopteri, Salmoniformes, Salmonidae.